Molecule: ribosomal RNA, 253 nt
Filed under: uncultured bacterium
Lineage: Bacteria
Description: partial 16S ribosomal RNA
Rfam family: Bacterial small subunit ribosomal RNA
Source: RNAcentral
GACGUAGGGCGCGAGCGUUGUCCGGAUUUAUUGGGCGUAAAGAGCUCGUAGGCGGCUUGUUGCGUCGACCGUGAAAACCCGGGGCUCAACUUCGGGCUUGCGGUCGAUACGGGCGGGCUAGAGUUCGGUAGGGGAGACUGGAAUUCCUGGUGUAGCGGUGAAAUGCGCAGAUAUCAGGAGGAACACCAAUUGCGAAGGCAGCUCGCUGGAACGUUACUGACGCUGAGACGCGAAAGCGUGGGGAGCAAACAGG